Molecule: ribosomal RNA, 98 nt
Filed under: Acinetobacter pseudolwoffii
Lineage: Bacteria; Pseudomonadati; Pseudomonadota; Gammaproteobacteria; Moraxellales; Moraxellaceae
Source: RNAcentral
GAGUGAACCACCUGAUCCCUUCCCGAACUCAGAAGUGAAACCUCUUUGCGCUGAUGGUAGUGUGGGGUUACCCAUGUGAGAGUAAGUCAUCGCCAGCU